This is a non-coding RNA of Paralichthys olivaceus (Japanese flounder), 326 nucleotides long. The record is from RefSeq and is a predicted model, not a curated record. Lineage: Eukaryota; Metazoa; Chordata; Actinopteri; Pleuronectiformes; Paralichthyidae.
AGUUCUGAUCCUGUUUGUAAAUCAAGUUCACUCUAAGAGCAGUUAUUAAAGAGCGCGUUUGUCUUUCAGAUCGUGAUAUGGGAGCUCGCCAUCGUGCUCGUGCCCACUCCAUCCAGAUAAUGAAGGUUCAGGUCAUCGCUGCCAACAAGUGUCGCAGACCUGCCAUCAAGCAGUUCCACGACUCAAAGAUUAAGUUCCCGCUGCCUCACCGGGUCCUGCGUCGCCAACACAAACCCCGUUUCACCACCAAGAGACCGAACACCUUCUUCUAAAACACAUUUUUCACUGUGUGCGGGGAAUAAUAAAGUUUCUGUUAUAGAAGACGA